RNAcentral lists this ribosomal RNA (253 nucleotides) under uncultured bacterium. RNAcentral's name for it is "partial 16S ribosomal RNA". It matches the Rfam family "Bacterial small subunit ribosomal RNA", at positions 524 to 776 of the family's 1533-position model. The record is from RNAcentral.
UACGGAGGGUGCAAGCGUUAUCCGGAUUUACUGGGUUUAAAGGGUGCGUAGGUGGGUAGGUAAGUCAGUGGUGAAAUCUUCGAGCUUAACUCGGAAACUGCCAUUGAUACUAUUUAUCUUGAAUACUUUGGAGGUAAGCGGAAUAUGUCAUGUAGCGGUGAAAUGCUUAGAUAUGACAUAGAACACCAAUUGCGAAGGCAGCUCACUACACAAUCAUUGACUCUGAGGCACGAAAGCGUGGGGAUCAAACAGG